CGUAUAUUUAAGUUGUUGCAGUUAAAAAGCUCGUAGUUGGAUUUCGGGUGGCUCUCUGCGGUCCGCCUUCGGGUGUGUACUGCUGUCGGCCACCUUUCUGUCGGGGACGGGCUCCUGGGCUUAACUGUCCGGGACUCGGAGUCGGCGAGGUUACUUUGAGUAAAUUAGAGUGUUCAAAGCAAGCCUGAGCUCUGAAUACAUUAGCAUGGAAUAACGCGAUAGGACUCUGGCCUAUCUUGUUGGUCUGUAGGACCGGAGUAAUGAUUAAGAGGGACAGUCGGGGG
This 284-nucleotide ribosomal RNA is filed under the name Caespitella pascheri. RNAcentral's name for it is "partial small subunit ribosomal RNA". It matches the Rfam family "Eukaryotic small subunit ribosomal RNA", at positions 598 to 888 of the family's 1831-position model. Lineage: Eukaryota; Viridiplantae; Chlorophyta; Chlorophyceae; Chaetophorales; Aphanochaetaceae. The record is from RNAcentral.